This 72-nucleotide transfer RNA is filed under the name Planctomycetia bacterium. RNAcentral describes it as "tRNA-Val". It matches the Rfam family "tRNA". From Rfam's summary of the family: Transfer RNA (tRNA) molecules are approximately 80 nucleotides in length. Lineage: Bacteria; Pseudomonadati; Planctomycetota; Planctomycetia. The record is from RNAcentral.
GGGCGAUUGGUGAAACGGCUAUCACGCUUUGUUUACACCGAAGAGUUGGGGGUUCGAUUCCCUCAUCGCCCA